Molecule: unclassified non-coding RNA, 1139 nt
Filed under: Hevea brasiliensis (rubber tree)
Lineage: Eukaryota; Viridiplantae; Streptophyta; Magnoliopsida; Malpighiales; Euphorbiaceae
Source: RNAcentral
CUUUAGUCAAAGUGAAAGGAAGAUGUGCAUUGGUGUAGGCAAAGUGAAAGGAAGAUAUGUAUUAUAAAGUUUACAUGGCUUUUACAGUGAACUUUCCAUGGUGAACUUGCAAUACGUACAUGGCUUUACAGUCUUACAUAUAUACCUUUCAUGUGCAGGAAACCAGCAACUAGGCACCAAAAUAAGAUUUCCACAAUUACAAAAGCUAGGGUUCCCCACUUCUUUGAAUGGAGUAUGGCCUGCAUCAGCGAUUCUAUGCCAUCAAUCAAGUUGUUUUCAGGUGAAUGCCAAUAGAAACCUUGAAGGGCUGCUGGGAAAAGUUCACAGGCAGCCAAAGCAUAAAUAAUGAGAGCGUUCAUCCCCAUCCACUGAAAUAUCACCAUGGGCUUUUUGAAAUGCUUGACAUCAACUACAUAAAAAAUAAUGGUUAAAAGCAAGCCUGAUGCUCCUGCUGUGAUGCACAUAUAGCUCAAUGUAUAAAGUGGUUUAGAAAAGGGAAUGCCAAGCAGUUUCAAAACAUAUCCAGUGAUCAGCAAAGAAAAAGAAGAUAUCGACCACAAAAACACCCUCUGCUUGUGGUCCUUAAAAUGAACAAGUAUAUGCCCAAAAUGCAACCCCAAAAAACAUGUGACAACAGCCAUCAAGGAACUUAAGAUGCCCUCAGGAUCAAAUGGAGCAAGGCACCAAGCAGGUGAAUUUGGUGGCAAAGGUCCAUAGUCAGGAGAGUUAACACUACAUUGCUUUGUUCUUCUGUACACUGGCCGCUGAUAUAGAUGAUGUUCACCAAGAAAGAAUCUAUCAACCAGGCCAACUGCAUUACAAGGAGGUUCAAGACUUCCCCUCAGUCCACAAAUCACAGUUUGAGUACCAGAUCCAUAACCAAAGAGAUUCAUUCUUGGAGCUUCAAAUUCCCAAUUUGGAAUAUAAAGGCCAUAUAACAAGCACAAAUACAAUGAACAGAGUAACAAAGAAAACAUCCACUGAACAUAGUAUUUCUUCACAAAAUCCAGAGGUGAGUCUACCAUGAUAUGGUCCACAAGCCAGAUCUCUGACAUUGAAGUGAAAAGAUAUCCAAUCGAUAUCCUCUGUAGUACACCCAGCCAACGUAUCUUGCCCACAUCAACCCCAUAUGUUAAAUG